GGUACUCAUGAUUGGGACCUACCAGGGUUUAUUUAACCAAACAGUCCCCUACUGGUGGGCAUUGGGGUUCGCCCAAUCUUUUGAUUUUAUAAAUAAUGCCACAGUGAAUAGCCAUGUUUUGGUUUGUCAAGUUGUACCUUCAGGGUAGAUCCCUGGAAUAAAAUGGUUGGGUUAGAGGGUACUCGCCUACGCCACUGGCUUGGAUGUCAAGUUCCCCACCAUUUUGCACUCACACAGCAUAGCCUCAGCCUGGAUUGUCACACUUUGGGAUUUUUGGCAAUGUGAUAAGUGAGAAACGAAGGUUCCAUGAAGUGUUCAUAUGCAUUUCUCUAAUUGUAAGACUGAACACAGUUUUCUACACUGGAGCCGUUUGCCUUUCUUUUUGCUGUGAACUGUCUGCCCACGUCAUUCACCCAUUUUUCUAUUACAUUUUUGCUCCUUCCUUCUCAAUUUCAAAGACUGAUUUAUAUAUCAAUGCUUUACCUGUGAUAUAGAUUGCAAAUACCCACUGCCCUCCCCCUUGAAGCAUGUCAUUUGUCUUUUGACUUUGGGGUGGCUUUUUUAAAAGAUUUUAUUUAUUCAUGAGAGACACAGAGAGAGGCAGAGACACAGGCAGAGGGAGAAGCAGGCUCCCUGCGGGGAGUCCCAUGCAGGACUCAACCCCAGGACCCCGGGAUCACACCCUGAGCCAAAGGCAGACACUCAACCACUGAGCCACCCAGGUGCCCCUGACUUUGUUUAUCGUGUGUUCAGAGAGGUUUUGUUCCUUGAGGAAGGAGGAAAACAAGAAGCAAAAUCUACCAGUGCUUCCUCAGCUAUGUCCUCGGGAUCUCAGGCCACUUUUGCCCCUUCCAGGCCAAGAAAACUGCCCGGAAUCAGAUGUGUAAAUAUCCAGGACCUGGUGAGACAGGGAGCCAUGGAGCCCAGUGUGAGCAUGGUGAUGACUACCACACCUCUUCCCCUCCAAAGGCUCAGGGGAGUCAGCAAGCAGGGGGAGAAGCAGCCCACAGGGAGAGGCCAAGGGUCAGAUCCUUCCACAGGCUGGGUUUGUACAGAGAAUGUGAAAUUCCUCCUGAACUCGGCAGGACGUGGCAUUUGGACUCCGGUGAGCAAAGCAUUCCACACUCCACCCAUAAUGAGGCAUGAAGGAGGCCAGUCAUGAGAGGGGAGGGGCAGGACCCUGAGUCAGUCCUUCUGAGUGGGACCCUUGCUGACUCACCCAGGCUGUGAGCCCUUCCCGCACCUGGAAGGAGAGACAAACACCAGUGAUCCCAAUUCUAGGACUGGGGAUGUUAGCGUUCCCAACUGCCUCCCUUUGGCUGUGUGGAAUAUGAGGACUAAGAUCAUAUGUGAUAAUAGUAAGUAUUAAUAUCCCUUGGCACUCAACACAGUUCAGUUUGAGCUUGAUGAAAUUUCCACUUCAAUGGGCAGACUGGUUGAGUCUUGGCAGUUCCGUGCAGCCAGAUCUGAAAUGGACCAGGGAGGUUCUAAGUGCUUUCUAUGCAUCGUCUCAUUUGAACUUCACAAGCUCUACAAGGUAGGUUCUCAUUGAGGCAUCGGGGCCCAGGAAAGUAAAAUCCACCCUCAUCACGUAUUCCUUCUCUCUUCCUGUCUGGCUUCAAGAUUUCUCCCAGACCAGGGCUUGCUCUCUGCCAAGGGCAACCCUCAGCCAGCAGGGAUAGGAACCGGUGGAUUCGUGCUCCAACCUCCUGCCCUGGGCACAAGUCAGAGGCACAAUCCACAUAGUUUCUCAGAUGGCCCCCCCAUGAGAUGGAGCUUCAUUUGCCCUUUCUGUCAUCUGCAUUAAUGUGCUCUGUAUGGGCUUUCCCCUUCCCCCUGUCUCACUUUGUUCACUCUUUCAAUAGGAUGACCUAUCAAAUAAACAAUCUGCUCCCAAGGACUUGUCUCGUGGUGUGUGUGUGUGGGUUGGGGGGGGUGGGUAGGGGGAGAUACUUGGUUUCCAGUUCUGACUCUACUCAUUAGUUACAUGGCAUUCAUUCUGGGCCUCAGUUUCCCUGCUGGAAAAUAAGGCUACCAUCUCUGCACAACAUAUGGUGGAGAACUGCUGGUCUGAGGCCAUGAUUUCACUGAGGCAAUGCCUGUGAACAUGUCCUGCCCAGAAAAGGGGUCAACAUGAGGGAUGUGUCAUAUCACCAUCAAUUAUGCAAUUAUGUAGAGUGAAGACAGCAAGGUGAUUCUAUGGAAGCCAGGGAGUCAAUGUAUCCCAGAACAGCAGCAAAGAAUAAAAUAAUGGUCCUCUCUCCUUCCCCUUUGGUCCUUUCUCUAGGACAAAACGUGGUCAGUUCCUCUGGUUCUUUUGCCAGCUUCUAAUCUGGCCACUGUCUUCUGCAUUUUCUAACAGGCCCAUGAUGGCUAUGAGAGUUUUAAUCCCAUCAGCCUACAUGUUGAGUAUUCUCUUUCUUGUCUUUAGCAAGAGAAAGGAUGAUUGGCAUUCAUGGAGUGGCUAAUCUGCUAAAUGCUUUCUAUAAAUGAUCCUUUUGAGUCCUCAUAAGAACACUGCCAAACUGGUAUCAGUAGCUCCACUUUAUAUAUGAGGAAGCCAAUGCCCAGGGGUUGAUGUCUAACGUGGGGGAACUAGAGUGCGAACCCAAGGAUGUCUGCCUCCCAGAGCCUCUGUGUCUCCAAGAUUCUAUACUUUCCCUGUCAGGAGGCCAAGCUCUGCAUCCAUUGUUACGGCUCAUGUAUCUUCCUUAAGAGCUGUCUUCAGUGCCAAAAAAACCAGUCUCAUUGAAAUUUGGUUGAAUAUUAUUGGUUAGCCAUAUGCCUUCUCCCCUUCUCUCUGAAAACAGCACAGUGUGGAAGUUAAACAGGUAGACUCAGGUAUCAGACCAAAUGGGUUUGAAACUUCUUUCCUGCUGGGUGAUGUUGGAUAAGUUACUUAUACUCUCUGUACCUCCGUUUUCUCAUAUGUAAACUGUGGACAAGGGAAUCCUAUUCUAGCUCCUGGAAGGGGCUGUGAGGACACAAUAAGGUAAUCUAUGCACGUAAAGUGCUUAACACCAUGCCUAGUGCAUAAAGGGUGUUCAGUGAACACUGGCAAUUACUAUCCUUCCCAGGAAAGCCCUGGACUGCUCCCCAUCCCUUCCACAUAUGGUUAAGGCUCCCUCCUCUUUGCUCCCUCAGCACCCCAGGAUGCCUAUCAUUAUCAUUUAGGAUUCUGGGCAUUGGCAUUGUCUGCCACUUUACGCCAGACAAUGUGUCUAAGUGUGCUCUCUGAGGGCUGGGGUCUCUGAGGGCAAAGUGUCUAAGUUACGCUCUCUGAGGGCUGGGGUCAUUCCCAGACUGGGUGGGAUUGGGGGGGGGGGUGGCUCUUAGCAGGAUAACCAGCCAACCUGCUAAUCACGCCUCUUGCAAACCAUAAACACUUCGAGGAUAUUCUCCUCCCCAAGCAACAAGAACAAUGCCUGGCUCAUAGCAGGCAACGGAUGAAAGAGCUCCAAACGACUAUGAGCUAUUUUUAAUUUUAAAACAUCAGCCAUCUCCCCUGAGAAAAUUGAAGACAGUUUGGAGAAGGGGCUGGGAUCAGUUCCUCAAAUAGUCCAGCUUCCCUGGACAUGUGAGUAUCCUACCUUCCCCAAGGAGCAAACUCAUUUGCAUGGAUAAAUUCUGAUCUGUGGUUUUUCCAAUCAGUGCUUGUCUGUUUCCCUCCCAGGGCUAUGCACACAGUAGGAGCUCAAUAAAUAGGUGUUUAUUUAUUGAAGUACUCCAGAGCCCCUGAAUUUGCAAACAGAAACCAGAAUUGGCGUCUCCUCCCUUCCAGACCAGGCCUUGGUCCAUCUGGGCAUACAGAUGACCAUUCACCGGCCUGCUCCCUCUGGGAAUACUGUCCUGGCUCCAAGCGGAGCUGCUAAAAGGGGGCCUUUCUCUCAUCUCAGAAAGGCCUCAGAUACCUCACGGUGAGGAUUUUUUCUCAACUGCCUCACUUGACCUUUGGGGCCUAACGGGCAGUGGGCAAAGCCCAGGGAAGGCCUGUAACAAAUGGCCUUCCACCAGCCCACGGCUUACUCUCUUACUCUUGGACUUCCCAUUCGGCACUCUCUGGGUUUUCUGUGACCUUGGAAAGCACAGAAGACCACAACAUUCCCCCCCACCUUUCCCUCUGGGUCAGGUGCCAGUUGGCACCAAAAGUUAGGAGGCUCCUUUCUGUGGUCACAGAACCUGGACCACUGUGUUCCCCCUUUCCUUGUCUUCCUUUGCCAUGGUAGGGGACCAUGGUGUUCAGUGAUCUUAAAUUGUAACAAAAGUACUGACUAACCAGUGUGAGGAUUCCAGGUGGCCUAGGCAAUUACAGCCACUUCCCCUUGCACAUUGGCAUGCUUGAGAAGGGCAGGUGCUCCUGGGCACUGGCCCAGAAACUUGUGCCCCAGUUGAGUUGGCUUCAGAGUGGCUAGUGGAGAAGGUGGCGCACAACGGAACCAGGUGGGAGGAUGUGGGGUGUGAGAAUGUAUUGAAGGAAGAAAGAAAGUUCUAACAGGAGACACUCUAAGGUUUUCUGAGAGAUAUAAGUCAUUGGUAUCAUCUCUUGCUUUUGGUAACUUACCCCAAACUUCUAGCAUUUUUGUAAGGUCAUUUACUAGAGAUCAUACAUGACACAGCAUCAUGAUUCCCAACACAGGUCUGUGUACCAAAGGUUUAGGUUCUUGGGACUGGGAGGCCUGGGUUCCAAUUCCCAUUUACUGGGUGACUUUGGGCAAGACAGAAACUAUUCUAAGCAUCAGUUUCCUCAUCUGUCAAAAGCUUGCUACCUUGUAGGAUCGGAAUAUGGGAAGCAUGGAACCUAACACAUCAAGAGUGCUGAGCAUGUAUCAGGUACCAUGAUUAUCAAGUGCAAAGACAGAGGGGUACACAGGCAGCAAGAGGUUGUCCUACUUGGCUGGAGCUAGGGGCAGAUGUGAAAUGGCACAAAAGACAGAUUGGAGGUCAUGCCACAGCUAUGGCCUGUGGGAAGUUUAUACUUAAAUCAGUGGUCAUAGGGAGCCAUUGAAGGUUUGUGAGCAGGAGAAAGAGGAGAACAGCGCUGGUGCCAGGGAAUAAGGUGAGAAUGGAGAGUUUAGAGACAGAGGAGGACUCAGCCUGUGGUCUUGUCACCAAUGCCCUAUGUUCAGAUCAGGCCAACACCACUCUCCACCCUCAGCCUACACAGCGAGAAGGGACAGUCUUGCCACUGAGGAUCAUGGCUUUCUUCUCCUGUCCCUGAAUGUGAACGUGAAAUCUUGCUCGAAUUUGCUGAGUGAAAAUAACAGAACUCAGUGAGAAAUAGCAGCUCUGCACUCCUUUUUAACCAGGCCCUCAUUUAUUUAAUGCUCGUCCAGGGCUAGUUUUCACACAUGUUUCUUCUCACUUCCCUGGGAUUUCUUUUUUUUUUUUUUUUUUCUUUUCUUUCCCCUCUGCAGUUCUCUCUGCCAGUCUCCAAUAAGGGGAUUCUUAGCAAAGAAUGGCCCAGGCCUGGCAGUCUGUCUCACACACCCAUCAUGUUGAAUCUGUAGGUAGGGAGAGCUGGGGCCAGCUGAGAGUGAUCUGCCAAAGUCAGUGUAAUCACAGUAAAGGAGCUCAGGCUUUGGAAUCAGGCCAUGG
RNAcentral lists this long non-coding RNA (5595 nucleotides) under Canis lupus familiaris (dog). RNAcentral describes it as "lncRNA (ENSCAFG00845003677.1)". Lineage: Eukaryota; Metazoa; Chordata; Mammalia; Carnivora; Canidae. The record is from RNAcentral.